RNAcentral lists this ribosomal RNA (501 nucleotides) under uncultured bacterium. Its description in RNAcentral is "partial 16S ribosomal RNA". It matches the Rfam family "Bacterial small subunit ribosomal RNA", at positions 30 to 523 of the family's 1533-position model. The record is from RNAcentral.
AUUGAACGCUGGCGGCAUGCCUUACACAUGCAAGUCGAACGGCAGCACGGGUGCUUGCACCUGGUGGCGAGUGGCGAACGGGUGAGUAAUACAUCGGAACGUACCUUAUCGUGGGGGAUAACGCAGCGAAAGUUGCGCUAAUACCGCAUACGCCCUGAGGGGGAAAGCGGGGGACCGUAAGGCCUCGCGCGAUUAGAGCGGCCGAUGUCUGAUUAGCUUGUUGGUGAGGUAAAAGCUCACCAAGGCGAUGAUCAGUAGCUGGUCUGAGAGGACGAUCAGCCACACUGGGACUGAGACACGGCCCAGACUCCUACGGGAGGCAGCAGUGGGGAAUUUUGGACAAUGGGGGCAACCCUGAUCCAGCAAUGCCGCGUGAGUGAAGAAGGCCUUCGGGUUGUAAAGCUCUUUUGUCAGGGAAGAACCAGCAGCUCUAACACAGUCUGCGAAUGACGGUACCUGAAGAAUAAGCACCGGCUAACUACGUGCCAGCCGCCGCCGUAA